CUACGGGGCGCUGCAGGCGAGAAAACUUUGCAAUGUGCGAAAGCACGACAAGGUUAAUCCGAGUGGUUUCUGCUAAAGGAACCUUUUGUCGGUCCUAGAAACACCGAUGAAUAAGGGGUGGGCAAGUUCUGGUGUCAGCCGCCGCGGUAAAACCAGCACCUCAAGUGGUCAGGAUGAUUAUUGGGCUUAAAGCAUCCGUAGCCGGCUCUGUAAGUUUUCGGUUAAAUCUGUACGCUUAACGUACAGGCUGCCGGGAAUACUGCAUAGCUAGGGAGUGGGAGAGGUAGACGGUACUCGGUAGGAAGGGGUAAAAUCCUUUGAUCUAUUGAUGACCACCUGUGGCGAAGGCGGUCUACCAGAACACGUCCGACGGUGAGGGAUGAAAGCUGGGGGAGCAAACCGGAUUAGAUACCCCCGUAGUC
This 422-nucleotide ribosomal RNA is filed under the name uncultured archaeon. RNAcentral describes it as "partial 16S ribosomal RNA". It matches the Rfam family "Archaeal small subunit ribosomal RNA", at positions 323 to 746 of the family's 1478-position model. The record is from RNAcentral.